RNAcentral lists this non-coding RNA (24 nucleotides) under Mus musculus (house mouse). Lineage: Eukaryota; Metazoa; Chordata; Mammalia; Rodentia; Muridae. The record is from RNAcentral.
UGAAGAUAAGGGGAGGAGCCCUGC